GUGCCAGCCGCCGCGGUAAUACCGGCAGCCCGAGUGAUGACCGAUCUUAUUGGGCCUAAAGCGUCCGUAGCUGGCUACGCAAGUCCAUCGGAAAAUCCACCCGCCCAACGGGUGGGCGUCCGGUGGAACCUGUGUGGCUUGGGACCGGGAGGCCUGAGGGGUACGAUCGGGGUAGGAGUGAAAUCCUGUAAUCCCGCUCGGACCGCCGAUGGGGAAACCACCUCAGGAGAACGGAUCCGACAGUGAGGGACGAAAGCCAGGGUCUCGAACCGGAUUAGAUACCCUGGUAGUCC
This 293-nucleotide ribosomal RNA is filed under the name uncultured bacterium. RNAcentral's name for it is "partial 16S ribosomal RNA". It matches the Rfam family "Archaeal small subunit ribosomal RNA", at positions 455 to 747 of the family's 1478-position model. The record is from RNAcentral.